RNAcentral lists this ribosomal RNA (253 nucleotides) under uncultured bacterium. RNAcentral describes it as "partial 16S ribosomal RNA". It matches the Rfam family "Archaeal small subunit ribosomal RNA", at positions 474 to 727 of the family's 1478-position model. The record is from RNAcentral.
UACCAGCACCCCGAGUGGUCGGGACGAUUAUUGGGCCUAAAGCAUCCGUAGCCGGUUCUGCAAGUCCCCCGUUAAAUCCAGCUGCUCAACAGAUGGGCCGCGGAGGAUACUACAGAGCUAGGAGGCAGGAGAGGCAAGCGGUACUCAGUGGGUAGGGGUAAAAUCCGUUGAUCCAUUGAAGACCACCAGUGGCGAAGGCGGCUUGCCAGAAUGCGCUCAACGGUGAGGGAUGAAAGCUGGGGGAGCAAACCGG